GACGAACGCUGGCGGCGUGCUUAACACAUGCAAGUCGAACGGAAAGGCCCUGCUUUUGUGGGGUGCUCGAGUGGCGAACGGGUGAGUAACACGUGAGUAACCUGCCCUUGACUUUGGGAUAACUUCAGGAAACUGGGGCUAAUACCGGAUAGGAGCUCCUGCUGCAUGGUGGGGGUUGGAAAGUUUCGGCGGUUGGGAUGGACUCGCGGCUUAUCAGCUUGUUGGUGGGGUAGUGGCUUACCAAGGCUUUGACGGGUAGCCGGCCUGAGAGGGUGACCGGCCACAUUGGGACUGAGAUACGGCUCAGACUCCUACGGGAGGCAGCAGUGGGGAAUAUUGCACAAUGGGCGGAAGCCUGAUGCAGCAACGCCGCGUGCGGGAUGACGGCCUUCGGGUUGUAAACCGCUUUCGCCUGUGACGAAGCGUGAGUGACGGUAAUGGGUAAAGAAGCACCGGCUAACUACGU
RNAcentral lists this ribosomal RNA (466 nucleotides) under uncultured bacterium. Its description in RNAcentral is "partial 16S ribosomal RNA". It matches the Rfam family "Bacterial small subunit ribosomal RNA", at positions 28 to 506 of the family's 1533-position model. The record is from RNAcentral.